GAUGAACGCUAGCGGGAGGCCUAACACAUGCAAGCCGAGCGGUAUUUCUUCUUCGGGAGAGAGAGAGCGGCGUACGGGUGCGGAACACGUGUGCAACCUGCCUUUAUCUAGAGGAUAGCCUUUCGAAAGGAAGAUUAAUACUCUAUAAUAUAUUAAUUGGCAUCAAUUGAUAUUGAAAACUCCGGUGGAUAGAGAUGGGCACGCGCAAGAUUAGCUAGUUGGUGAGGUAACGGCUCACCAAGGCAAUGAUCUUUAGGGGCCUGAGAGGGUGAUCCCCCACACUGGUAAUGAGACACGGACCAGAAUCCUACGGGAGGCAGCAGUGAGGAAUAUUGGUCAAUGGGUGCAAGCCUGAACCAGCCAUCCCGCGUGAAGGAUUAAGGUCCUAUGGAUCGUAAACUUCUUUUGUAUAGGGAUAAACCUACCCUCGUGAGGGUAGCUGAAGGUACUAUACGAAUAAGCACCGGCUAACUCCGUGCCAGCCGCCGCCGUAA
RNAcentral lists this ribosomal RNA (494 nucleotides) under uncultured bacterium. RNAcentral's name for it is "partial 16S ribosomal RNA". It matches the Rfam family "Bacterial small subunit ribosomal RNA", at positions 28 to 523 of the family's 1533-position model. The record is from RNAcentral.